AUGAACGCUGGCGGCGUGCCUAAUACAUGCAAGUCGAGCGCACAGACGAGGAGCUUGCUCCUCUGACGUUAGCGGCGGACGGGUGAGUAACACGUGGAUAACCUACCUAUAAGACUGGGAUAACUUCGGGAAACCGGAGCUAAUACCGGAUAAUAUAUUGAACCGCAUAGUUCAAUAGUGAAAGACGGUUUUGCUGUCACUUAUAGAUGGAUCCGCGCCGCAUUAGCUAGUUGGUAAGGUAACGGCUUACCAAGGCAACGAUGCGUAGCCGACCUGAGAGGGUGAUCGGCCACACUGGAACUGAGACACGGUCCAGACUCCUACGGGAGGCAGCAGUAGGGAAUCUUCCGCAAUGGGCGAAAGCCUGACGGAGCAACGCCGCGUGAGUGAUGAAGGUCUUCGGAUCGUAAAACUCUGUUAUUAGGGAAGAACAAAUGUGUAAGUAACUAUGCACGUCUUGACGGUACCUAAUCAGAAAGCCACGGCUAACUACGUG
This 496-nucleotide ribosomal RNA is filed under the name uncultured bacterium. RNAcentral's name for it is "partial 16S ribosomal RNA". It matches the Rfam family "Bacterial small subunit ribosomal RNA", at positions 29 to 507 of the family's 1533-position model. The record is from RNAcentral.